GGCCCCAUCGUCUAGCGGUCUAGGACACCGGCCUCUCACGCCGGGAACAGGGGUUCGAGUCCCCUUGGGGUCA
RNAcentral lists this transfer RNA (73 nucleotides) under Deltaproteobacteria bacterium. Its description in RNAcentral is "tRNA-Glu". It matches the Rfam family "tRNA". From Rfam's summary of the family: Transfer RNA (tRNA) molecules are approximately 80 nucleotides in length. Lineage: Bacteria; Pseudomonadati; Myxococcota; Myxococcia. The record is from RNAcentral.